UUCGGUGCCAUCAAACCAGAGCCACACCCCUAUUUCAUCUCCCAACUGCUUCCGGACGGCGGCGGCGGCGCUCCAGCUCCGGCGUCACAGCAGCGGCAUGAGAUCGACGGCGACCAUGGUGGCGACUGCGACGACCCCGUCGCGGACGUUAUUCUCCCCCAUCGUUAGACUUAGGGUUUCAGAUAUUUGAUCCAUCCAUGAUUAUGCGACAAUGGCGAGAUGAGAGAGCCGUUUGUUCGUCACGACAGAAGCUCGACCGAGCUGGUACAGAAGGGAGCCGGGUUGGGAACAAGAAGCUCCCACGCCAUCACCCUCAUCAGCAGCAUGGCCUACUCCUUCGGCUGUGAAUAUGCCUUCAACCUCAAGGCGCAAUCCUGGUAUGCUCUCGACUUGGCCGGCUAGGUGCCCCUGCCUCUCGUCGGUGGCACGGAGUUUGUGUCUGGCGGCCAAGUCAAGGAUCACAAGCUCUACUUCGACACGACCACCAACAUGACCCGUUCUUGUACCAAAAAUGAUCCUCCCAUGUUAUGUAUCAAUUAAUAAUUAUGUAUGUCUCUUGUGUUGUGUUCUGGUAGGGGUGUUCCAGAUUGACAUGUACAUUUAGUUCUGAUUGAAGAGGCUGGCUUAAUUUUGUCAUGUAGUAAAAUAUUUGUGAUAAGGCUUUGUUGUCGUUGUUGUGUACUCAAAUUUUGUGAUAAGUAUUGACAUACUUUGCCCAA
Long non-coding RNA from Triticum aestivum (bread wheat), 719 nucleotides. RefSeq lists it as uncharacterized. Lineage: Eukaryota; Viridiplantae; Streptophyta; Magnoliopsida; Poales; Poaceae. The record is from RefSeq and is a predicted model, not a curated record. The transcript has 3 exons.